RNAcentral lists this ribosomal RNA (292 nucleotides) under uncultured bacterium. RNAcentral's name for it is "partial 16S ribosomal RNA". It matches the Rfam family "Bacterial small subunit ribosomal RNA", at positions 505 to 796 of the family's 1533-position model. The record is from RNAcentral.
GUGUCAGCAGCCGCGGUAAGACGAACCGAGCGAACGUUGUUCGGAAUCACUGGGCUUAAAGGGCGCGUAGGCGGGCGAUCAAGUCGGUGGUGAAAUCCUACAGCUUAACUGUAGAACUGCCUCCGAUACUGGUUGUCUCGAGGAAGGUAGGGGCGUACGGAACAGUUGGUGGAGCGGUGAAAUGCGUUGAUAUCAACUGGAACUCCGGUGGCGAAGGCGGUACGCUGGACCUUUUCUGACGCUGAGGCGCGAAAGCCAGGGGAGCAAACGGGAUUAGAUACCCCCGUAGUCC